This 491-nucleotide ribosomal RNA is filed under the name uncultured bacterium. RNAcentral describes it as "partial 16S ribosomal RNA". It matches the Rfam family "Bacterial small subunit ribosomal RNA", at positions 29 to 507 of the family's 1533-position model. The record is from RNAcentral.
ACGAACGCUGGCGGCGUGCUUAACACCUGCCAGUCGAACGGAAAGGCCCCCACUUUUUUGGUGGGGGUGCUCGAGUGGCGAACGGGUGAGUAACACGUGGGUGAUCUGCCCUGUACUUCGGGAUAAGCUUGGGAAACUGGGUCUAAUACCGGAUAGGACCAUGGUUUAGUGUCUCAUGGUGGAAAAAUUAUUGUUUUGGUGCAGGAUGAGCUCGCGGCCUAUCAGCUUGUUGGUGGGGUAAUGGCCUACCAAGGCGUCGACGGGUAGCCGGCCUGAGAGGGUGGACGGCCACAUUGGGACUGAGAUACGGCCCAGACUCCUACGGGAGGCAGCAGUGGGGAAGAUUGCACAAUGGGCGCAAGCCUGAUGCAGCGACGCCGCGUGGGGGAUGACGGCCGUCGGGUUGUAAACUCCUUUCGUUAGGGACGAAGCCGCACCUUUUUGGGGUGUGGUGACGGUACCUUUGUGAAGAAGCACCGGCUAACUACGUG